AGUGAACGCUGGCGGUAGGCCUAACACAUGCAAGUCGAACGGCAGCACAGGAAGAGCUUGCUCUUACGGGUGGCGAGUGGCGGACGGGGGAGGAAGACAUCGGAAUCUACUUUGUAGUGGGGGAUAACGUAGGGAAACUUACGCUAAUACCGCAUACGACCUACGGGGGAAAGCAGGGGAUCGUCGGACCUUGCGCGAGUGAAUGAGCCGAUGUCGGAGUAGCUAGUUGGCGGGGUAAAGGCCCACCAAGGCGACGAUCCGUAGCUGGUCUGAGAGGGUGAUCCCCUACCCUGUCUCUGAGACACGGCCCAGACUCCUGCGCGGGGCCGCAGUGCGGACUAUUGGACGAUGCGCCCAAGCCUAAUCCAGCCCUACCGCGUGGGUCCAGAAGGCCUUCUGGUUCUAGAGCCCUUUUGUUGGGAAAGUUAAGCAGCAGGUUAAUCCCCCGCUGUUAUGACGGUACCCAAAGAAUAAGCACCGGCUAACUUCGUG
RNAcentral lists this ribosomal RNA (492 nucleotides) under uncultured bacterium. RNAcentral's name for it is "partial 16S ribosomal RNA". It matches the Rfam family "Bacterial small subunit ribosomal RNA", at positions 29 to 507 of the family's 1533-position model. The record is from RNAcentral.